GUUGCGGUGGUUUCUCAUUCGCUUGGUGCAGGUCGGGACCUACCUCGCCGGCAACAAUGGCGGUAGCUGACGGCGACGGCAGCGUACCGGUAAAAAAGAAUCUUAUUUUUACAUGUUGUUGCGUAGUUUGGGUCCCGCCUUGCAUCAACUGAAUAGGAGACUGCGGUGAAU
Molecule: non-coding RNA, 171 nt
Organism: Solanum lycopersicum (tomato)
Lineage: Eukaryota; Viridiplantae; Streptophyta; Magnoliopsida; Solanales; Solanaceae
Source: Rfam